This 168-nucleotide unclassified non-coding RNA is filed under the name uncultured Bionectriaceae. RNAcentral describes it as "sequence contains ITS1". Lineage: Eukaryota; Fungi; Ascomycota; Sordariomycetes; Hypocreales. The record is from RNAcentral.
CCGAGUUUACAACUCCCAAACCCUUCUGUGAACAUACCUAUAUCGUUGCCUCGGCGGGAUCGCCCCGGGUGCGCUUGCCGCCCCGGAACCAGGCCCCCGCCCGAGGACCCCAAACUCUUGUUUUUCAGUGGUUUCUCUGAGUGGCUUCUAAAGCAAGAAAAUAAAUCA